This 23-nucleotide non-coding RNA is filed under the name Arabidopsis thaliana (thale cress). The record is from RNAcentral. Lineage: Eukaryota; Viridiplantae; Streptophyta; Magnoliopsida; Brassicales; Brassicaceae.
GCCAAAAUCGUAUCGACCAAUGG